CAGAGCGUAGCUAAAUAAGAAAAGCAUCUCCCUUACACCGAGAAGGUAUCCGUGCAAUUCGGAUCGUUCUGA
RNAcentral lists this transfer RNA (72 nucleotides) under Citharichthys stigmaeus (speckled sanddab). Its description in RNAcentral is "tRNA-Val". It matches the Rfam family "tRNA". Rfam says of the family: Transfer RNA (tRNA) molecules are approximately 80 nucleotides in length. Their secondary structure includes four short double-helical elements and three loops (D, anti-codon, and T loops). Further hydrogen bonds mediate the characteristic L-shaped molecular structure. tRNAs have two regions of fundamental functional importance: the anti-codon, which is responsible for specific mRNA codon recognition, and the 3' end, to which the tRNAs corresponding amino acid is attached (by aminoacyl-tRNA synthetases). tRNAs cope with the degeneracy of the genetic code in two manners: having more than one tRNA (with a specific anti-codon) for a particular amino acid; and 'wobble' base-pairing, i.e. permitting non-standard base-pairing at the 3rd anti-codon position. Lineage: Eukaryota; Metazoa; Chordata; Actinopteri; Pleuronectiformes; Cyclopsettidae. The record is from RNAcentral.